RNAcentral lists this ribosomal RNA (462 nucleotides) under uncultured bacterium. RNAcentral describes it as "SSU rRNA". It matches the Rfam family "Bacterial small subunit ribosomal RNA", at positions 26 to 518 of the family's 1533-position model. The record is from RNAcentral.
AGAACGAACGCUGGCGGCAUGCCUAACACAUGCAAGUCGAACGCUCCUGGGGCUUCGGUCUCAGGGGAGUGGCGCACGGGUGAGUAGCGCGUGGGAACCUGCCCUGUUGUGGGGGAUAACCGAGGGAAACUUCGGCUAAUACCGCAUACGCCCGGGGAAACCUGGGGAAAGAUUUAUCGCAGCAGGAGGGGCUCGCGUCGGAUUAGGUAGUUGGUAGGGUAACGGCCUACCAAGCCUGUGAUCCGUAGCUGGUCUGAGAGGAUGAUCAGCCACACUGGGACUGAGACACGGCCCAGACUCCUACGGGAGGCAGCAGUGGGGAAUAUUGGACAAUGGGCGCAAGCCUGAUCCAGCAAUGCCGCGUGAGUGAUGAAGGCCUUAGGGUUGUAAAGCUCUUUCGCCCGCGACGAUGAUGACGGUAGCGGGAGAAGAAGCCCCGGCUAACUUCGUGCCAGCAGCCGC